RNAcentral lists this ribosomal RNA (1020 nucleotides) under uncultured bacterium. RNAcentral's name for it is "bacterial SSU rRNA". It matches the Rfam family "Bacterial small subunit ribosomal RNA", at positions 466 to 1498 of the family's 1533-position model. The record is from RNAcentral.
GCUUUGUAUGUACCCAUUGAAUAAGCAUCGGCUAACUCCGUGCCAGCAGCCGCGGUAAUACGGAGGAUGCGAGCGUUAUCCGGAUUUAUUGGGUUUAAAGGGUGCGUAGGUGGGGAAAUAAGUCAGCGGUGAAAGUUUGUCGCUCAACGAUAAAAUUGCCGUUGAAACUGUUUCUCUUGAGUAUGUUUGAGGUAGGCGGAAUGCGUGGUGUAGCGGUGAAAUGCUUAGAUAUCACGCAGAACUCCGAUUGCGAAGGCAGCUUACUAAACCAUAACUGACACUGAAGCACGAAAGCGUGGGGAUCAAACAGGAUUAGAUACCCUGGUAGUCCACGCAGUAAACGAUGAUUACUAGGAGUUUGCGAUACACAGUAAGCUCUACAGCGAAAGCGUUAAGUAAUCCACCUGGGGAGUACGCCGGCAACGGUGAAACUCAAAGGAAUUGACGGGGGCCCGCACAAGCGGAGGAACAUGUGGUUUAAUUCGAUGAUACGCGAGGAACCUUACCCGGGUUUGAACGCAUUUGGACGUACGGUGAAAGCUGUAUUCUAGCAAUAGUCAUUUGCGAGGUGCUGCAUGGUUGUCGUCAGCUCGUGCCGUGAGGUGUCGGCUUAAGUGCCAUAACGAGCGCAACCCUAAUUUUCAGUUACCAUCAGGUGAAGCUGGGGACUCUGGAAAGACUGCCGGCGUAAGCUGCGAGGAAGGUUGGGAUGACGUCAAAUCAGCACGGCCCUUACAUCCGGGGCGACACACGUGUUACAAUGGGGGGGACAAAGGGCAGCCACUGGGCGACCAGGCGCGAAUCCCUAAACCCCUUCUCAGUUCGGAUCGGAGUCUGCAACUCGACUCCGUGAAGCUGGAUUCGCUAGUAAUCGCGCAUCAGCCAUGGCGCGGUGAAUACGUUCCCGGGCCUUGUACACACCGCCCGUCAAGCCAUGGGAGUUGGGGGUACCUAAAGUCCGUAACCGCAAGGAUCGGCCUAGGGUAAAACUGAUGACUGGGGCUAAGUCGUAACAAGGUA